GGGAGUGUGGGCCGCCUGUAUAUAAAGCCUGGUAGACGGACGUCAACACAGAACACUGGCACGCGACGACGCUACAACAUCUUCUGUACUAACACGCUCAUCAAACGACCAUGAACCCUAUACGAGUUGACCGAGGUAGCUGCAGUGUCACCACAAGAACAAUUCGGAGCGUCUACAAAAUUUACCUGUUGCUGGAGAACUCGAUCGCAACAAUUCCUUUCCUACUCCAGUUCUACCGCGGUUAGUGGAUCCUUCCCACAGCAUUACAGUGAGUUUCCUAGUGUUAAACUACAAGAAAUUGGUCUCCAAAAAAACUGCUUUGUUAUUUCUUCUACCCCAUUUGUGGGUCAUGAGCUGUAUUGCAUUACAUUCUGUGCAAGUAAAGUCAAACUUGUACAUAUUGAAUAUCCAGUAUAUGUAACCAAUAAAGUUUUUCUAUUUAUGGAAUAAUCCAAA
RNAcentral lists this long non-coding RNA (456 nucleotides) under Homarus americanus (American lobster). RNAcentral describes it as "uncharacterized LOC121875064". The record is from RNAcentral. Lineage: Eukaryota; Metazoa; Arthropoda; Malacostraca; Decapoda; Nephropidae.